GUUGAUGGGUCAAAUGGGUUGAUG
Molecule: non-coding RNA, 24 nt
Filed under: Arabidopsis thaliana (thale cress)
Lineage: Eukaryota; Viridiplantae; Streptophyta; Magnoliopsida; Brassicales; Brassicaceae
Source: RNAcentral